This 242-nucleotide unclassified non-coding RNA is filed under the name Melitaea cinxia (Glanville fritillary). RNAcentral describes it as "misc RNA ENSMCXG00005012880.1". The record is from RNAcentral. Lineage: Eukaryota; Metazoa; Arthropoda; Insecta; Lepidoptera; Nymphalidae.
AGGGCGCCCAAGCACCAGUGCAAUUAGGGAAGAUCAACCCCCACUUAAAAUGCGAAAAGGGAAACCUUGCCAAGUUUUGCCACCCCUUGAAGUUAGACUCGACGAAAUGGAUCAUAACAUCAUGAGAACAGAAACACGUGGUCGAUUAAACGUUACGCCUUUAUCGCCAAGUUGCACGAAACCUUCGCUAAUUUUCCGUUAACUAAGUAGAAAUUAAUCUUAAGAUUAGCUAAUCUCAAGAU